UCAAGAAACUUCCACAAUGGGCGAAAGCCUGAUGGAGCGACGUCGCGUGAUGGACGAAGUGCUUCGGCACGUAAACAUCUUUUUAUGUGGGAUGAAAUUAUUGACAGUACCACAUGAAUAAGGGGCUCCUAACUCUGUGCCAGCGGGAGCGGUAAUACAGAGGCCCCAAGCGUUAUCCGGAAUCACUGGGCGUAAAGGGUGUCGAGGCGGUUGUAUUAGUCGUUCGUAAAAUCUACGAGCUUAACUUGUAGGCGGCGAACGAAACGGUACGACUUGAGGUUUGGAGAGGUGCGUGGAACUCACGAUGUAGGGGUGAAAUCCGUUGAUAUCGUGGGGAACACCAAAGGCGAAGGCAGCGCACUGGCCAAAAUCUGACGCUCACACACGAAAGCUAGGGUAGCGAAGAGGAUUAGAUACCCAGGUAGUCCCUGAGCGGGCUGGCAAGGCGCAU
RNAcentral lists this ribosomal RNA (451 nucleotides) under uncultured bacterium. Its description in RNAcentral is "bacterial SSU rRNA". It matches the Rfam family "Bacterial small subunit ribosomal RNA", at positions 355 to 825 of the family's 1533-position model. The record is from RNAcentral.